This 83-nucleotide small RNA is filed under the name Marmota monax (woodchuck). The record is from RNAcentral. Lineage: Eukaryota; Metazoa; Chordata; Mammalia; Rodentia; Sciuridae.
GCUGGGUACAGUGAUGCAUGCCUGUAAUCCCAGUGGCUCGGGAGGCUGAGGCAGGAGGAUGGUGAGUUCAAAGCCAGCCUCAG